Phascolarctos cinereus (koala) is the source of this 632-nucleotide non-coding RNA. The record is from RefSeq and is a predicted model, not a curated record. Lineage: Eukaryota; Metazoa; Chordata; Mammalia; Diprotodontia; Phascolarctidae.
UUUUCCAUACAACGAUUUACUGUUGCAUCAUCCUGGGAAGGAUCUGCAGUAAUGUUUGUGAAGGAGAUUGGAACCAGCCAGAAAUAAGGCAGUUGGAAAAUAAUUCUCAAGUUGGACACUUCCUCUGUGAUUUCAAGGACAUCUCGUCUGUAAAGAAAACACUGGAGAAAUGGCACUAUAUCUAAUCACUUAUUUUAUGCCCCAUGGGAAGGGAGGAAACAGAAAUAACAACACCAAAACCUCAGUAAUGGAUUCUCUAGGCUCUGGGUCUCCAAAGGUUUGGAGGCUUAUUUGUGGCAGAACCAGGGAGCUAGGAAAUACGUAUUCCAUGUGAGCCCACAAACUGUGGAGUCAGCACGCUUGGGCUUUGCUGCUUCUUCCCUUGUCUGGGAUACUCUUCUUUUAUGACUGCGGCACACAAAAUGCCAACAACAGGGAAACUGAGGCACAUUUUCUCCAACCAAGAAAAUAAAGCAGAGGUCCCAAGUUAAACUAGUUGGAAAGAAAAUGCGGUGGGUAUAUGAGGUAGGACUAGGUUUUAUCACAUCAUUCAACCAUCCAUUUAAUUCAGACUGGGAGAGACUAAGGUUUUGUACUUAACUGAGAAAAGGGGUUUAAGAAAAUGGAAAAUA